This 481-nucleotide ribosomal RNA is filed under the name uncultured bacterium. RNAcentral describes it as "bacterial SSU rRNA". It matches the Rfam family "Bacterial small subunit ribosomal RNA", at positions 32 to 521 of the family's 1533-position model. The record is from RNAcentral.
AAUCAACGCUGGCGGCGUGCCUCAGACAUGCAAGUCGAACGAUUAAAGCUCUCUUCGGAGAGUGCAUAGAGUGGCGCACGGGUGAGUAACACGUAAGUAAUCUACCUUCGAGUGGGGAAUAACGUCCGGAAACGGACGCUAAUACCGCAUAAUGCAGCGGCAUCGCAAGAUGACAGUUGUUAAAGGAGCAAUUCGCUUGAAGAGGAGCUUGCGGCAGAUUAGCUUGUUGGUAAGGUAACGGCUUACCAAGGCUACGAUCUGUAACCGGUCUAAGAGGACGGUCGGUCACACUGACACUGAAUAACGGGUCAGACUCCUACGGGAGGCAGCAGUCGGGAAUUUUGGGCAAUGGGGGAAACCCUGACCCAGCAACGCCGCGUGAAGGAUGAAGUAUUUCGGUAUGUAAACUUCGAAAGAAUAGGAAGAAUAAAUGACGGUACUAUUUAUAAGGUCCGGCUAACUACGUGCCAGCCGCCGCGGU